GACGUUUUGGCCGAGUGGUUAAGGCGGUAAGCAGACCCUGGCGACUAUGAGAACUUCUUAAUCUAACAAACUGGCAAGACACCCUGCUAUUCCCAGUCAAGGUGUUCUCUUCGGAGGCACAGGUUCGAAUCCUGUAGACGUCG
Molecule: transfer RNA, 143 nt
Filed under: Cladophialophora psammophila CBS 110553
Lineage: Eukaryota; Fungi; Ascomycota; Eurotiomycetes; Chaetothyriales; Herpotrichiellaceae
Rfam family: tRNA
About the family: Transfer RNA (tRNA) molecules are approximately 80 nucleotides in length. Their secondary structure includes four short double-helical elements and three loops (D, anti-codon, and T loops). Further hydrogen bonds mediate the characteristic L-shaped molecular structure. tRNAs have two regions of fundamental functional importance: the anti-codon, which is responsible for specific mRNA codon recognition, and the 3' end, to which the tRNAs corresponding amino acid is attached (by aminoacyl-tRNA synthetases). tRNAs cope with the degeneracy of the genetic code in two manners: having more than one tRNA (with a specific anti-codon) for a particular amino acid; and 'wobble' base-pairing, i.e. permitting non-standard base-pairing at the 3rd anti-codon position.
Source: Rfam by way of RNAcentral